Molecule: ribosomal RNA, 253 nt
Filed under: uncultured bacterium
Lineage: Bacteria
Description: partial 16S ribosomal RNA
Rfam family: Bacterial small subunit ribosomal RNA
Source: RNAcentral
UACGUAGGGUGCGAGCGUUGUCCGGAAUUAUUGGGCGUAAAGAGCUCGUAGGCGGUUUGUUGCGUCGGCCGUGAAAACCUGCAGCUUAACUGUGGGCCUGCGGUCGAUACGGGCAGACUUGAGUUCGGUAGGGGAGACUGGAAUUCCCGGUGUAGCGGUGAAAUGCGCAGAUAUCGGGAGGAACACCGGUGGCGAAGGCGGUUCUCUGGGCCUUACCUGACGCUGAGGAGCGAAAGCGUGGGGAGCGAACAGG